GUCCUGUCUCUGUCGGCAUCUGCCAGGCCCCAGUGCCUCCAACUGGGAAAUGGGGAAAGUGACCUUGGUCCUCCUUUCCUGGUGGUCAGUGGAGAAGGCUGGGGGCAUACCCGCAAUUGGUCUUUGCAGGCCCGUGAAGUCUGGGGUCCCGGGCUCCCGGCACUGUCCUGUGCUGUGGGUCAGGCGUGCCCCCUGCUCAGUUGGUUGGGUCCAGGCACCCCGCCCACCACGCCUUUCCCCCAGUUCCUCAGGCUCCUCUUGGUGACGCAGGCAGCCCAGGGCUGGCUCAGCUGGGGUUGUUCUUGGCUGACGUGGACAUGCCCGUUUCUGGGCCAGGCCUGGCUCCCAGACCCCUUUCCCCUGCCUGCUGUCCUCAAGGGUCCCCUCCCUCGUUCACGUGGGCUUUGCCUGCGAGCUGGUUCUCCCUAUGCUUCUAGUCAGGGUGCCAGCCUCCUGGAUUCGUGCUGGUUCUUGACCUUGGUCUCUGUGCCUCUGCUCCAGACCCAGGCUGAGGACAGAGCUCAGGGGGUGGAAAGUAGCUCCAGGCUACCUUGCCUGCACCUGGCCACCUCACCCGCACUUGGCCCUCCCGAGGAGAGGCUGCGUUCUGCUGCCACGUCUAGGACACUCAGUGGGGAGAGACGCCCAGGGGCCACCCCCUCUGUAGCGUGGUGGAGCCUUCCUGCUGGGGUGUGGCUGAAGGGCCUGUUCCAUCUGGAGCUGCGUGUGGCUGGUGAAGAACAGGUGUUACAGCCCAUGGGGGAUCUAACAGGACCUGGCCCUCAUAUCCCGGCUGGCUGCAGAGCAGGGGGCUGGCGGCUGGCCUGGCGUCUCUUGGAUGGAAAUGCUGAAGAGUCCUCGGCUGAUCUGAGAAACCUGGCCUGGGAUGGACCCGAGGAUCCACAUGCUUCCUCCCAGGGGCUGCGGCCAGGGUCAAGGUCAGGACAGUGCCACCUCCCCAGCACCGCUGUCCGCUGUCCGGCCUUUUCUGAGCACUCGCCAUGCGACAGCCUUCCCCUUUCAUGCCAGAUGACCACCCUUGUCCCUUACAGAGGGCAGUGCUCUUCACCCCACUCUCGGCCACUCAGGCACUGUUGUGACCGUCAACUGCCAUCGCGGGGCACAAGCAGCCAGACGGUCCGUAAACAACCGGGCAUGGCUGUGUUCCAAUUAAACUUUAUUUACAAAUGUCACAUCAUUUUCACGUGUCAUGAAAUGUUUCGAUUUUUUCUCACUAUUAAAAAAAUAUAAAAAUCCAUGUUAUCUCCCCGGCUGCGUAAGGGCCGGUGGCCAGCCUGUCACCUGUGGUCGCGGGUGAGAACCGAGGAUGCUUUCGCCACGCCGUCUGAGACGGGCCCAGUCAGUCCUCCUUGGGGCCCCCACUUCAAACGUGGUGUAUGCUCGACAGAUGAAGGGAGCAGACAAAUGAGGGAGCUGACUAACCUGCUAUCUAACCAACUCACCAGUUAACCGAGCCUUUAGCUCUUGGGUUCGGAGUUACCCCUUCCCAUCUCUGGGCUUCUUUAGACCUGACUGACUCCUUGCCCUCUGACCUGUCUCAUUGACUCUUGCCCAACCCCCACCCUCCUGAUCUCUGGCCAGGCCCUCAUCAACCCCCAAGCAGCCCAAGGCGGUGAGAACCUCCAGAGAAACCCACGAGAAGCUGCCCUCGGGCACUCAUUACUGCUAGGCUGAGGGCGUGGCCUGGCAGGAGAUCGGGGCGUGGCCUCAGGGUCGUGGUGUGGGGGCUUUGAGGCUUGGGGGGCUGGCUGUACCUUAGGGCAGUGGGAAGAUUGUCAGGGCAACCAGAGGGCACAUUCCAGGCGUCAGAAUGUUCUAGACAAAGGUGCAGAGGUAGGAGCUGCCAGAGUGUGGGACCGCAGGAAAUCCAGGCGACUAGACAGAAGGGGCUCUUCUCUGUCCCCGCUGACAGAAGCCAGGGGGGAGCAAAGGAGGUGAGUCUGAGUCCGAACCCUAGCCUUAACCCACUCAGCAGGGCCUGCCUGGAUGGUGCGAGUAAACCCGUGGGCCCCAGGAGGCCCCAACGUGCCUUGUAGAGGCCUGCCCCCACGUCUGAUUUGUGGCCUUCCCUCUCAGUCAGUCACUCACCCCACAAGCAUUGGGGGACCACCAGUGACCUGCCUGUCAGACCCCAUGCAGGCUGUGGAUGACAUGGAUGUGGUUCCCGCCUCUGGGAACUAACAGGGAAGCAGAAUGAUGGCUGUGCCCUCGAGGCCAAGAGCAGGGCCAU
Ursus maritimus (polar bear) is the source of this 2251-nucleotide long non-coding RNA. Lineage: Eukaryota; Metazoa; Chordata; Mammalia; Carnivora; Ursidae. The record is from Ensembl.